GCGUGGCGGGCGGUGCUAUACAUGCAAGUAGAACGCUGAAGAGAGGAGCUUGCUCUUCUUGGAUGAGUUGCGAACGGGUGAGUAACGCGUAGGUAACCUGCCUUGUAGCGGGGGAUAACUAUUGGAAACGAUAGCUAAUACCGCAUAACAAUGGAUGACACAUGUCAUUUAUUUGAAAGGGGCAAUUGCUCCACUACAAGAUGGACCUGCGUUGUAUUAGCUAGUAGGUGAGGUAAUGGCUCACCUAGGCGACGAUACAUAGCCGACCUGAGAGGGUGAUCGGCCACACUGGGACUGAGACACGGCCCAGACUCCUACGGGAGGCAGCAGUAGGGAAUCUUCGGCAAUGGGGGCAACCCUGACCGAGCAACGCCGCGUGAGUGAAGAAGGUUUUCGGAUCGUAAAGCUCUGUUGUAAGUCAAGAACGGGUGUGAGAGUGGAAAGUUCACACUGUGACGGUAGCUUACCAGAAAGGGACGGCUAACUACGUGCCAGCAGCCGCGGUAAUACGUAGGUCCCGAGCGUUGUCCGGAUUUAUUGGGCGUAAAGCGAGCGCAGGCGGUUUGAUAAGUCUGAAGUUAAAGGCUGUGGCUCAACCAUAGUUCGCUUUGGAAACUGUCAAACUUGAGUGCAGAAGGGGAGAGUGGAAUUCCAUGUGUAGCGGUGAAAUGCGUAGAUAUAUGGAGGAACACCGGUGGCGAAAGCGGCUCUCUGGUCUGUAACUGACGCUGAGGCUCGAAAGCGUGGGGAGCGAACAGGAUUAGAUACCCUGGUAGUCCACGCCGUAAACGAUGAGUGCUAGGUGUUGGAUCCUUUCCGGGAUUCAGUGCCGCAGCUAACGCAUUAAGCACUCCGCCUGGGGAGUACGACCGCAAGGUUGAAACUCAAAGGAAUUGACGGGGGCCCGCACAAGCGGUGGAGCAUGUGGUUUAAUUCGAAGCAACGCGAAGAACCUUACCAGGUCUUGACAUCCCGAUGCUAUUUCUAGAGAUAGAAAGUUACUUCGGUACAUCGGUGACAGGUGGUGCAUGGUUGUCGUCAGCUCGUGUCGUGAGAUGUUGGGUUAAGUCCCGCAACGAGCGCAACCCCUAUUGUUAGUUGCCAUCAUUCAGUUGGGCACUCUAGCGAGACUGCCGGUAAUAAACCGGAGGAAGGUGGGGAUGACGUCAAAUCAUCAUGCCCCUUAUGACCUGGGCUACACACGUGCUACAAUGGUUGGUACAACGAGUUGCGAGUCGGUGACGGCGAGCUAAUCUCUUAAAGCCAAUCUCAGUUCGGAUUGUAGGCUGCAACUCGCCUACAUGAAGUCGGAAUCGCUAGUAAUCGCGGAUCAGCACGCCGCGGUGAAUACGUUCCCGGGCCUUGUACACACCGCCCGUCACACCACGAGAGUUUGUAACACCCGAAGUCGGUGAGGUAACCUUUGGAGCCAGCCGCAUAAAGGUGAACAAAAGC
RNAcentral lists this ribosomal RNA (1455 nucleotides) under Streptococcus thermophilus. RNAcentral describes it as "bacterial SSU rRNA". It matches the Rfam family "Bacterial small subunit ribosomal RNA". The record is from RNAcentral. Lineage: Bacteria; Bacillati; Bacillota; Bacilli; Lactobacillales; Streptococcaceae.